RNAcentral lists this non-coding RNA (699 nucleotides) under Gossypium arboreum. Its description in RNAcentral is "Eukaryotic large subunit ribosomal RNA". It matches the Rfam family "Eukaryotic large subunit ribosomal RNA", at positions 1490 to 2252 of the family's 3401-position model. Lineage: Eukaryota; Viridiplantae; Streptophyta; Magnoliopsida; Malvales; Malvaceae. The record is from Rfam by way of RNAcentral.
GCCGAAGAGGGGAAAGGUUCCAUGUGAACGACACUUGCACAUGGGUUAGUCGAUCCUAAGAGACGGGGGAAGCCAGUCUGAUAGCGCGUUCAGCGUGAGCUUCGAAAGGGAAUCGGGUGGGGGCCUCGUAAAGAGUUAUCAGACUGGCUUAACAGCCUGCCCACCCUGGAAACGGCUCAGCCAGAGGUAGGGUUCAGCGACCAGAAGAGCACCGCACGUCGCGUCGUGUCCGAUGCGUUCCCAGCGGCCCUUUAAAAUCUGGAUGACCAAGUGCUGUCCAUGCCCGAUCGUACUCAUAACCGCAUCAGGUCUCCAGGGUGAACAGCCUCUAGUCAAUGGAACAAUGUAGGCAAGAGAAGUUGGCAAAAUGGAUCCGUAACCUCGGGAAAGGAUUAGCUUUGAGGGCUGGGCACGGUGGUCCUAGUCCAGAACCCGUCGACUGUCGGUGCACUGCUUGAGCUGCUUUUACGACGAGAGCGGGUCGUCGCGUGUCGGCUGAGGAACGGACUGGGAACAGCUCCCUCGGGGGCCUUCCUCGGGAGACGAACAGUCGACUUAGAAUUGGUUCGGGCAAGGGGAAUCUGACUGUUUAACUAAAACAAAGCAUUGCGAUGGUCCCUGCGGGUGCUCACGCAAUGUGAUUUCUGCCCAGUGGUCUGAAUGUCAAAGUGAAGAAAUUCAACCAAGCGCGGGUAAACG